This 253-nucleotide ribosomal RNA is filed under the name uncultured bacterium. RNAcentral describes it as "partial 16S ribosomal RNA". It matches the Rfam family "Bacterial small subunit ribosomal RNA", at positions 524 to 776 of the family's 1533-position model. The record is from RNAcentral.
UACGUAGGGUCCAAGCGUUAUCCGGAUUUACUGGGUGUAAAGGGCGAGUAGACGGCGUUGCAAGUCAGAUGUGAAAACUUGGGGCUCAACCCCAAGACUGCAUCUGAAACUGUAAUGCUAGAGUGCAGGAGAGGUAAGUGGAAUUCCUAGUGUAGCGGUGAAAUGCGUAGAUAUUAGGAGGAACACCAGUGGCGAAGGCGACUUACUGGACUGUAACUGACGUUGAGGCGCGAAAGUGUGGGGAGCAAACAGG